UUGGAGGGCAAGUCUGGUGCCAGCAGCCGCGGUAAUUCCAGCUCCAAUAGCGUAUAUUAAAGUUGUUGCGGUUAAAAAGCCCGUAGUUGAAUUUCGGGGUCAGUAGGCUGGUCGUGCCACGGGUAUGUACUGGUCUCACUGAUUCCUCCUUCCUGAUGAACCGUAAUGCCAUUAAUUUGGUGUUGCGGGGAAACUGGACUGUUACUUUGAAAAAAUUAGAGUGUUUAAAGCAGGCUAACGCUUGAAUACAUUAGCAUGGAAUAAUGAAAUAGGACGUUCGAUCCUAUUUUGUUGGUUUCUAGGAUUGACGUAAUGAUUAAUAGGGAUAGUUGGGGGCAUUAGUAUUCAAUUGUCAGAGGUGAAAUUCUUGGAUUUAUUGAAGACCAACUACUGCGAAAGCAUUUGCCAAGGAUGUUUUCAUUAAUCAAGAACGAAAGUUAGGGGAUCGAAGACGAUCAGAUACCGUCGUAGUCUUAACCAUAAACUAUGCCGACUAGGGAUCGGAUGAUGUUAAUUUUUUAAUGACUCAUUCGGCGCCUUACGGGAAA
RNAcentral lists this ribosomal RNA (548 nucleotides) under uncultured Glomeromycotina. RNAcentral describes it as "SSU rRNA". It matches the Rfam family "Eukaryotic small subunit ribosomal RNA", at positions 548 to 1097 of the family's 1831-position model. Lineage: Eukaryota; Fungi; Glomeromycota. The record is from RNAcentral.